Mercenaria mercenaria is the source of this 1779-nucleotide long non-coding RNA. RefSeq lists it as uncharacterized. The record is from RefSeq and is a predicted model, not a curated record. The transcript is spliced from 3 exons. NCBI's taxonomy places the organism in Eukaryota, Metazoa, Mollusca, Bivalvia, Venerida, Veneridae.
CAGCUUUUUAUUCAGGCUAACCAAUUGCACUACAUUUUGCCAGUUGACGUUUGCAUACUAAACAAUCAGAUACAUCAGCAGCGGUAAUCAAGGGUCAACAGUCUGAAGGAUUGUUUUAAAAGGCAACUGUAAACAGCGUUCAGGAUCAUAGACAGGGGACAGCAAGGAAAAAAGAAUGGUUGCGACAAUAACACGGAUUAUUUUACUCACAGUUUUUAUAACACUGGGAUGUGCUAGGCCCCCGGCCCAGAACUGCGCAGACGGGCAAAUCUGGUUUCUUGAUGGUUCCUGGGAUUGCAAAUACUUAGAAACGCCGUCUUUAUUGGGUUUCCAUAGAAAUCCACUGCGUUGGUGUAGAGACAGAUUAUUUGACUGUUGUGCUACGUGUGCCAGGAUAAGAAAUCACGGAUGAAAAAGAAACAACAUAUAGGACAAUGUCGGCUGAUUAUUAUUUGUAUUGGAGUAAAAUGUUGUGGAAUGAUUGUUUAUUGUUUAAAUUAUGCCUAAAACACCAAAUUUGCUCCAUGUUAUGUUAAAGCAAAUAUAUAUUACUUUCAGACAAACGUUAUGCAUGGUUAACAAAAAAUGAAAAGGACCAAAAAUAAUAACGUAUACUGCUAUAGUCAAAUUAAUUUAUUUACAUGCGUUAUUCUAAAAUGCCAACAAAUUUGAAACAAACAAUGCCGAUUUUAUGCACAGAUUUAUAACACCUUUUUUCAUAUUAGUUUAACACUGUAAUCGACAGUAACAGUUAAUACCUGUUGUCCAUAAGUUGCACUAGAAAGAGCUACGCAAAUUCGUCUCAUAGGUGACAGUUACAUUCUAAAAAAAAGCGUCCUCCACUGUGAAAGUACGUUAAUUCCUCUGUAUUGUCCGCUCCGUGUAGCUCAUGUGAACGCAAACGGAAGACUUGCACGAUAUAAGCUGUAACUGUCGUUAACUAGUAAAGUGUUAUAUAAAUUUCAACAUUGGCGCUAUAAAAUGUGUAUUAGAUCUGGUAUUUUUGUACCAUAUUCAAAUUUUGAAUAAUAUGGGCUAAUGGUUUGAUUCAAUAUAUGUAAUUCAUUAUCUUCUCUUGUCCUUUUCGGUUUUUGUUAAUUUAUGUAAGACUUAUGUCUUUAGUAUAUUUCUUAAAGUUGACAUAUACUAAAGAAGAAAUACUUUGCGAAAAUUUUUUUUUGAAAUUUACACAGAACAAUAUUAUUUCGAUAAACAUAAUUAUAAGUGCCACGCUUUUUAAAAAAAAAUCACCGAACAUUGACAUCAAAAUUACACUUAAUGUAGACCAAUCGUGUGAUCUAAAAAUCGUAAACGUAAUCUUUAUUUUUUUUUGUUUUACAAGUAACAACUUUUGUCCAGCUCCUUUAAAGACAAACUAGUUUAACUAAAGACAUUUCCUUUUAGUUUGAUUAUUAGAAAAACGGGUAGUUCUAUUGAAAAAAAUCCUUUUUAAAGUGUAGGCUCCUGCAGCGAUAGGACCAACUGAUUAAAUCUUUGCAUGUAAGCUUGUAAGCUAGUAUACCACUUAAAACUCUACACCUUUGUACACUGUGGAAAACCUAAUAUGCUUUGCAAAUGUUCAAUAGCUCUGCUUCUACAAGGCUAUUGCCCUAUCGCACACAGAAUCCAAACUGAAUUUAGUAUAUCCAAUGAAUAUACAUCCUCUCUUUCAAGAUAUUUUUUGAAGUCCACUGCUAUAUUAAUGUAAGUAAAUUCACCAAAUGUUAAAUUCCAAACUUGUAAUAUUUUGAUAUGAAGAAAUACAGGAACGUUUUUCAA